UUUAAAUAUGUUUGUUCAGGUGCUCGCAUGAGAUUAAAUAGGGAACCCCGUUAAAGUCGGGGACGGGCCCGCCGCUGUAAUCGGGGACGAACACCGCAGGUUGCUCAAUAGU
RNAcentral lists this non-coding RNA (112 nucleotides) under Desulfobacterales bacterium. Lineage: Bacteria; Pseudomonadati; Thermodesulfobacteriota; Desulfobacteria; Desulfobacterales. The record is from RNAcentral.